CAACCUGUAACCCCAUAUGGAAGGAUGUCAAUACUAUGCCACGGGUAAAGAGCUCUGCUAUGGUAAACCCUCUCUAACGGGUAACCCUGAACAGGAAGUCAACCCUAAGGCAAUAUAAUAGUCAAUCCUUAAUCUAACGGGUGACUCCUGCUCCUGCACUGGUAACACAGUUUUGGAGUUUAGGAACUAUUACUAACGACUCUGCCUCUCUAACGGGAAACCCGUCAUCUCUGC
Molecule: long non-coding RNA, 234 nt
Filed under: Capsicum annuum
Lineage: Eukaryota; Viridiplantae; Streptophyta; Magnoliopsida; Solanales; Solanaceae
Description: long non-coding RNA (CANN_LNC004848)
Source: RNAcentral